AAAGAAAAAUUGAGAACGCACAGUACUUCAUCUUUCCCCAUACUCUCCUCUCAACCUCACAAAUUUCGCCCUUCAUCACCACAAAUUCUCCUCCACUUAUCCGCGAGCAUUCCCAUCCGAACAUCACCAUCAAACAUCCGUAACAACCAUAUUCCACGUACAACAACCGAGACCGACGAACUACCACCUCACUUCCAUAAUCCUGCUUCUGUCAUCACUCUGAAUCCCCAGCGAAUCACCCCUUCAACUCCACUUUUGUCUCAAUUUUGUGAGUUAGUAAAUAACUCCUCUUCAAUUUCACUCUCAUUUUAUUAUUUAGCUUUAUUUUGGGACUGUUUUUGA
This 342-nucleotide long non-coding RNA is filed under the name Vicia faba (fava bean). Lineage: Eukaryota; Viridiplantae; Streptophyta; Magnoliopsida; Fabales; Fabaceae. The record is from RNAcentral.